This 118-nucleotide transfer RNA is filed under the name Aspergillus rambellii. It matches the Rfam family "tRNA". From Rfam's summary of the family: Transfer RNA (tRNA) molecules are approximately 80 nucleotides in length. Their secondary structure includes four short double-helical elements and three loops (D, anti-codon, and T loops). Lineage: Eukaryota; Fungi; Ascomycota; Eurotiomycetes; Eurotiales; Aspergillaceae. The record is from Rfam by way of RNAcentral.
GACAACUUGGCCGAGUGGUUAAGGCGCGGGACUGCUAUGCAGUCAGAACGUUUCAUGGUCCAACCAUGGAAGUCAUCCCGUUCAUUCGUGAGCGCAGGUUCGAAUCCUGCAGUUGUCG